This 476-nucleotide ribosomal RNA is filed under the name Austropotamobius torrentium (stone crayfish). Its description in RNAcentral is "partial 16S ribosomal RNA". It matches the Rfam family "Bacterial large subunit ribosomal RNA", at positions 1857 to 2599 of the family's 2925-position model. The record is from RNAcentral. Lineage: Eukaryota; Metazoa; Arthropoda; Malacostraca; Decapoda; Astacidae.
ACCUGCCCAUUGAGAUUUAAAAGGCCGCGGUAUUAUGACCGUGCUAAGGUAGCAUAAUCAUUAGUCUUUUAAUUGGAGGCUGGAAUGAAUGGUCGGACAAGAGAUAAGCUGUCUUAAGUAAAAAUAUUGAAUUUAACUUUUAAGUGAAAAGGCUUAAAUUUUCUAGGGGGACGAUAAGACCCUAUAAAACUUUAUAUUUUGAAAUAAUAAUUAAUUUUAUAUGGGAGUUUUAUUUUUAAAUAUUUUAUUGGGGUGAUAAGGAUAAAAUAACAAAUAACUGUCUUUUUUUAUUACAAUAAUAUUUGAGCAAAUGAACCUAGUAAGGGAAAGAAGAUUAAGUUACUUUAGGGAUAACAGCGUAAUUUUUUUUUAAGAGUUCUUAUCGACAAGAAAGUUUGCGACCUCGAUGUUGAAUUAAAAGUUCUUUAUAGAGCAGAAACUAUAAAAGAAGGUCUGUUCGACCUUUAAAAUUUUAC